Molecule: long non-coding RNA, 1827 nt
Filed under: Selaginella moellendorffii
Lineage: Eukaryota; Viridiplantae; Streptophyta; Lycopodiopsida; Selaginellales; Selaginellaceae
Description: long non-coding RNA (SMOE_LNC001804)
Source: RNAcentral
UAAUUUAGCACACGGCCAAAAAAAUUUGCAAAAUUCUAUGGUACUUUCUAAUUCCCUAAGCCGACUCUUGGCACAGCUCUAAUUGACUGCCAAGGAGCAAAGUUUCCAACAGAAGGAGAAUUUGGAUCCUGGCAGCCCAUGGGGCACAGAUUGGAUACAAUUAUUGUGCAAGAGCACCGAGAAUCAAGGAAGGAUCAGGUUCCAUUGUGAAUUGCCUGAAUUUCUCUCCUUUUUCACACCAGCCAGUUGUUAGAGCUACGGUGCAAACAUCCACAAAAAAUUUACAAAAACCAUGGGAAUCAAACCUAGGAUCAGACGGCUGUGGGAGUCUAUAGAUGUUCACCAAAACAAUAUCUAUAAUAAUAAGAACGAAGAACCCACACCACCGCAGCCGUCCGAUCCCAGGUCCGGGGCAGCCUCGGAAGCCAUGGUUCUCGGCGAGGGGAGGCCAGCCCAGGCUUGGGCCAGGGCCGGUGGCCAUGGUUAGCGGGAAUAUCGGCUCAAUGUUGUGGCGGCCAAUGGGCGGGAUGCACGCGUGGCCGGGAAGGGAAGAGGGCGUGGUGACAGGUGUUAUGCCAUGCACUCCUAGGCCUCCAUGGCUGCUCUGGUCGGACACGGUUUUGGGGGCAUUCCCGUGCGUGGUAAGUAACAGGGGCGAGAGUAAUGGUAGGAUCAACGAGGCCUAGGCGAAGCAGGAGAUGCUGGCUUACAUCGAGCUGUUCUUGAAUGGCGGCCAUUCUGGUCUGAGGAAAUCCUCCCAUUUGCAGCAGCGUUCGGUAUGAUCCCUGUUGGAGAUCUGCGUCUUUACCAGUGGAUUCAUAGAACGCUACUCUUUGAAGGUAUGGCAUGGAGUCCCUCUUUUGCAUUAGAGCGAAUGUUGUGAAGGGGAGCUGACACCUCUCUGUGGGAUUUGCAGGUGAGAGAAGAUGUACCUCGGUGAUUUUCACUUGAAAGUCGUCCAUUUUCAUCUUCACCCCGUCGAAGAUCCAAGCCCGAACUCGCAGUGACAAGCAAAGCAGCACAGGGACUCCUAGAGGCUCGGGGAUAUUAUAUUCUAAAAAGCACGCACGGAUUGAUUGGAGUCAAGUCAUGUCACACAAGCAGACGAGACGAUGGACUCUGGAUAUUAACACGUAAGGUGGUACACAGGAUUAAUUCGUUUUGACUUUCUCACUGAACUUUGCCAUUGUUUCAGGAGGAAGGAACACUGUGACUUCAAUGGCUUUCCCACCUCUCGGUGACGGGUCGUAGAAGCAGAAGCCGUUCCACAACUUCGUAGCGUGUCGAACAGCGUGUCGAACAGGCUGGUUUCCCCCAUCCAAAGUCCAGACUAUACAUUGGAAAUCUUGGAGAGCUACCAAAGAUUGGUAAACACAACAUUGGAGUUAUUUUGUUGUUCUUGAGUGUGCUUUGCAAAAGUCUAAUAUUUUCCUUUCAGAUCAUUACAUAGUUGUGAAAUUUAUAUAUAUCCAACUGUAGUCUGCAUUUCUAUUCUGCAUAAAUUUCUAUACAAACUCAAUUAAAAUAUAUAUAUUAUCAAACCUAUAAUUGAAGUGACUGAAAAUGCCUCGCCUCCGCCAUCUUUUGAGAACCAUACGACAUAGUAAACAACCUAAUGGAGAUUUAGAUGCCUUUGAAACUAUGAUUGAUCAUGAUACACAUACUAUAGCUGUUCAAAAUAAUCAUGAUAAUGAUUCUAUACACCUAAAUAUUAAUCAUGAUAAUGACUAUAUACAGCAAUCAGUUGGACACUCAGAAGCAUCUGGAACCUUACAUGCAUGUCAUUAUGACAAUUACAUAUAUCAAGCAAUAUUAAAUCCACCACCC